Molecule: ribosomal RNA, 1346 nt
Filed under: uncultured bacterium
Lineage: Bacteria
Description: bacterial SSU rRNA
Rfam family: Bacterial small subunit ribosomal RNA
Source: RNAcentral
GACGAACUUUGGCGGCGUGCUUAACACAUGCAAGUCGAACGGAAAGGCCCUGCUUUUGUGGGGUGCUCGAGUGGCGAACGGGUGAGUAACACGUGAGUAACCUGCCCUUGACUUUGGGAUAACUUCAGGAAACUGGGGCUAAUACCGGAUAGGAGCUCCUGCUGCAUGGUGGGGGUUGGAAAGUUUCGGCGGUUAGGGAUGGACUCGCGGCUUAUCAGCUUGUUGGUGGGGUAGUGGCUUACCAAGGCUUUGACGGGUAGCCGGCCUGAGAGGGUGACCAGCCACAUUGGGACUGAGAUACGGCCCAGACUCCUACGGGAGGCAGCAGUGGGGAAUAUUGCACAAUGGGCGGAAGCCUGAUGCAGCAACGCCGCGUGCGGGAUGACGGCCUUCGGGUUGUAAACCGCUUUCGCCUGUGACGAAGCGUGAGUGACGGUAAUGGGUAAAGAAGCACCGGCUAACUACGUGCCAGCAGCCGCGGUGAUACGUAGGGUGCGAGCGUUGUCCGGAUUUAUUGGGCGUAAAGGGCUCGUAGGUGGUUGAUCGCGUCGGAAGUGUAAUCUUGGGGCUUAACCCUGAGCGUGCUUUCGAUACGGGUUGACUUGAGGAAGGUAGGGAAGAAUGGAAUUCCUGGUGGAGCGGUGGAAUGCGCAGAUAUCAGGAGGAACACCAGUGGCGAAGGCGGUUCUCUGGGCCUUUCCUGACGCUGAGGAGCGAAAGCGUGGGGAGCGAACAGGCUUAGAUACCCUGGUAGUCCACGCUGUAAACGGUGGGUACUAGGUGUGGGGUCCAUUCCACGGGUUCCGUGCCGUAGCUAACGCUUUAAGUACCCCGCCUGGGGAGUACGGCCGCAAGGCUAAAACUCAAAGGAAUUGACGGGGCCCCGCACAAGCGGCGGAGCAUGCGGAUUAAUUCGAUGCAACGCGUAGAACCUUACCUGGGUUUGACAUGGAUCGGGAGUGCUCAGAGAUGGGUGUGCCUCUUUUGGGGUCGGUUCACAGGUGGUGCAUGCCUGUCGUCAGCUCGUGUCGUGAGAUGUUGGGUUAAGUCCCGCAACGAGCGCAACCCUUGUUCACUGUUGCCAGCACGUUAUGGUGGGGACUCAGUGGAGACCGCCGGGGUCAACUCGGAGGAAGGUGGGGAUGACGUCAAGUCCUCAUGCCCCUUAUGUCCAGGGCUUCACGCAUGCUACAAUGGCUGGUACAGAGAGUGGCGAGCCUGUGAGGGUGAGCGAAUCUCGGAAAGCCGGUCUCAGUUCGGAUUGGGGUCUGCAACUCGACCUCAUGAAGUCGGAGUCGCUAGUAAUCGCAGAUCAGCAACGCUGCGGUGAAUACGUUCCCGGGGCU